Long non-coding RNA from Oryza brachyantha (malo sina), 1840 nucleotides. RefSeq lists it as uncharacterized. NCBI's taxonomy places the organism in Eukaryota, Viridiplantae, Streptophyta, Magnoliopsida, Poales, Poaceae. The transcript has 3 exons. The record is from RefSeq and is a predicted model, not a curated record.
UCCUCUCCAGAGUCCAGGCAACAGCAGUGUGCCCAGCGUCCCUAUUCCUGCAUGUUUUUGCAUCAGCCGGUGACUGAUGAGUGAGUGAGCUAGGACGCUGGGCUGGCCAGCCUCGAUCUUGGCUCCCAUUAGAGUGGGCAGCUAAAGACAGUGCAACGCUGCCGUGGACUAGAUGGGCAAAGCAGCAGCACAGGGCCGACCCUUUGGAAGGGCAUGCCAGCGGGGGCACACAUGGGGAGUAAUGGUGGGAGCUGCCGGCCGCUGCACUGCGUGGUAGAAACAAAUAUGAGGUCAGAGCUGGCUGGAGAGACCCAUGCAUGAUGGGGGAAGGAACCUUGUGAUAUGGAGCUGCAGCAUAGCAUAGGGAAGGGCCGAUGCACAUGCCAAUGCCACUGCCGAUCAGAGACACACUCCUAUUUCUUAAAGAUUGCACACAUACAAGAGGAGUCAGUCACUGCGUCCUGCAGCGUGAAGAGGGAAUAGGAAGCAAUAUUGGGGAGACACGGGCAGCUGUUGAGUCCAGAGAAGGGGGGGUGGUGGCCUUGGUACACUGCUCACAUGAGAAAGAUCAGAGGAGUGUAAUAAUAUAAAGGCAUGGCAUGUGAUGGUGAUUGGUGCGUUUGGUGCUCCUCCAGGAAACACUCAUCAGUCUCCCGUAGCAUCAGUUACUGCAAUAAUUAAAGUCCAAAACGCAGCUAGUUGUACGUUAGCAUGUUUAUCCAACCAAGAAGGCGAAGGCACAGGAUAUGAAAGAAAGAAAAAGAAGAAAAGGAUGGAAAGGAACGGAGACACAAGAUUGCAAAUGGAGGCAACAGGACUACAGAAGAGUAGGUGGGCUAAACAACGGGGGGAGGUGCAUCAGAGCAUAGCAUGGAGAAGUGUGAGCUUGGGGCCAAAGGAAAGGAGCGCGCUGACGACGCCCAUAUGCUUUGGUUCUAGCACAACAUUAAGUAGCGAGAAAGACGGUGGUGGUGAUGACCAAGAUUCAUGAGAGCCUGCGAAAGCUCUCAUUAGUGCUGGAAAUGAAGGUUGUUUAUGCGCUUUACCUGCCUUGUGCCAAAUCCCCUAAUCAAGCUGUUUGGAAUCUGUUGUUAAAAUUGAAAGGUCCUGUACUGCUGUUAAAGUGUCGUGUAUGCAGUUCAAGUAGAUGCAUCAUGCCACCUGCAUAUGUUGGCAGUUGUUGGGAGUAUAUUACUGACAUUAUUUCUGCUGCAGUUUCCCAUUAUUAUACCCGAAUGUAUUCGGUACUUCAAUUGACAUUUUUGUGUAAAAUUCUCAGGGCAGAUGCAAUAAUGCUUGCUUGCUCGGUUGGGUGGAGUGAUAUCUGAAAGCAGGACUGCAUGAGGUAGACCCUUUGGCACCAGCCUGCCAAGUUGAAGGAGCAUAGUAUAUAAUUCAGUUGCCGUUGCACCAUCUCUUCAUUGCCAUGGCAUCACUCACACCUCCUCUUUCCUGUAAGGACGCUGCUCCCCCACUUUGUUCAGAUCUCUUUGGUCUCGUCUUUCCUUAAAGCACGGGGAAAUAAAUACUACUACACACUCCGCAUGAGGUGGUGGGGUUGUAGUUUCAUGGGAAUUUGGUUCUCCUCCCCACUCUCCUCCCUGACUUCCAGCCUUUGUUUUAUCCUUGACCAAUUUCACCACAGACCAGCCCUGCUUUCUUUUGAGAUUUCACUAGGUUUGGAUUGAUUUUAUGUGAUUUUUCUUGGUAUUAAAGGAUGUCACAUGAAGCUUGCCUAUCCCUGUUUUAGGGUCCCCUACAUAAAAAUUGUGUUAAUGGCAUUUGGAUCUUUCAGAUGCUGAUGGGAAUUCUCAUGUCCUUUGUUAAUUAAUGGCAAUGG